RNAcentral lists this ribosomal RNA (253 nucleotides) under uncultured prokaryote. RNAcentral describes it as "partial 16S ribosomal RNA". It matches the Rfam family "Bacterial small subunit ribosomal RNA", at positions 525 to 777 of the family's 1533-position model. The record is from RNAcentral.
ACGUAGGGACCAAGCGUUGUUCGGAUUUACUGGGCGUAAAGGGCGCGUAGGCGGCAAUUCAAGUCAGCUGUGAAAUCUCCGGGCUUAACUCGGAACGGUCAGCUGAUACUGCAGGGCUAGAGUGCGGAAGGGGCAACUGGAAUUCUCGGUGUAGCGGUGAAAUGCGUAGAUAUCGAGAGGAACACCUGCGGCGAAGGCGGGUUGCUGGGCCGACACUGACGCUGCAGCGCGAAAGCCAGGGGAGCGAACGGGA